CGUCCUUUCCCAUUCCUAUUUCUCGCAUGUAUAUAGGAAAUGCGCUCUGCGUUCUCGAACCUUCUCGUGACCAACGAAACCCCAUUUUUGUGCCGCGAUUCCAGAGUUCGAAUUCAACCAAGAAGAGAGCCCCAUCGGAGAGCAACAUAAGCUUCCUGAACUCUUCGAUUACUGACAUGGACUCAAUGGCGGAUUUGGGGGUUUCAUCUUUUGCGUUGUUGAUGUUCAUUUGUGUUUUUCUGUUAUGCGUGUUGUCUGUGGAGACGUGUAAGGGGAGGAGAAGGGGUGGCAAUGUUGCAUGGUUUAUGGUGAUGGAUUGAUGGUAGCCGGAGGAGAAAGGAAAGAGGGAGGUGGAGGAGGACGAUGAUGACUCAUCCGAGUUACACGACUUAGUGGCUCACUUGGGUGAGGAAGGGACAAGGGAGAGAAGCAAGGUGCAAACCUUAGUGAGCUUGAUGCGGAAGAGGAAGACGCGACGGAGGAAGAAGGUUUCAGGUGGCGGUGGCAGCAGCAGCGGCAGCGGCUCCUCAUCUCCGCUGGGGAAGGAUAAGCUUAUAUUUAUAGUUCAUAAUGCAUCAUCCUUAUAUUAUUAUAUUGUAUUUGUUAUUUCAAAUUUAAUUUAUUAUAAAUUAUAUAAAUAAUGUACUAUGAAGUUGGAGAUUUUAUCAUUAUUUAACUGAGUGGGAACUGUUGUUUGGUGGAACAGACCUGCCCGCAAUGAUGAAGUGUUUCUCGGUGUCCUUAGCCUCUUUAUGGGUUUUCCUUGCUCUCUUUUCUCUGAGGAAUGGAGCCACCCUGUUCACUGGGAAUUUGAUCAAGCAAGGACCAAUCCACAUGUGCCACGUGCUCAACAAGUGCUGAAGGUUGGAGCCCAAGAACGAAGGGAGCUUGUGUUUGUGCAAGUGCAACAUCGUUCUUGGACAAAGGCUCUGCUCCCAUUUUUUUGCUUCUCACUCUUUUCUUCUCUAAUAAUGUGUGUUGAUGCUAUUGAUAUGUGAAUGUGAUUUUAUGAUUGAUUCUUUCUCAGCCUUUCUGGAUUCUUAUAGCACAUAUCAAUAUUCCAUGUGUAAUGAUCUUAUUCUUACUCGUUAACGCUUUUUCCAUUGUAGACUAAUGAUGAUGAUGAUGUUUAUUUAUUAGGAUUCUCCAUAGCUGAUUUAGUAAUCAUGAUUUAAUUAAUUUGACUUGAUGUUAAAAACUCUUGUUUUGAUUUGUCAUAUAUGUUUUUUUGUUCAAUUUCAUUUUGCCUUCAAUUGGAGGUUUGGUGAACUCUGGAUUACCAUGACUAUUGUCAAGUUAAAUGCAAUCUUUUCAAAAUGAUGUCUUGUGUGACACAGGAAGUGAAGGACAUUUACCAUCUUUUGGAACAUGAGUUUUAUCCCUCAAAUCUUGCAUUAAAAGCACUGCCCUUAAUAACUAAAAUCUCAAAGUUAGGGGGUAAGCUUUCUACUGCAUAAUCUGUUCCAGAGGUGCAAUUAGCUCAGUAUGUUCCAGCACUGGAAAGACUGGCUACCAUGAGGUUGCUGCAGCAGGUGUCUAAUGUGUACCAAUCUAUGAAGAUUGAAACCUUAUCGGGGAUGAUCCCCUUCUUUGAUUUCUCUCAAGUGGAAAAGGUUUCUGUAGAUGCUGUUAAGUAGAAGUUUGUAUCAAUGAGAGUUGACCACAUGAAAAAUGCUGUGAUUUUUUGCAAAAAGAGUCUUGAGUCUGAUGGCUUAAGGGAUCACUUGGCCAAUUUUGCUGAAGAAUUAAAUAAAGCAAGACAGAUGAUUUAUCCUCCUGAUAAGAGAUCAUCAAAACUUGGAGCUUUACUUCCCUCUUUGUCAGAGGUUGUGGCCAAAGAACACAAGAGGCUUCUUGCUUGAAAAUCAAUUAUUGAGAAGAGGAAAGAAGAACAAGAACGACAGCUUCUUGAAAUGCUACUAUUGCAAUAACAAUCAAUGGGCAAGAUUUUGCAACAGUACCGUAGACAAAUUUGGUUGGAGACUGGAGAGGAUCCAAAUUCUAGUUGUAUACAUAUUUGUACAAUUUUGUUAUAAAAAAAUAUCUUUGGAUAAUCUUUUCUGAUAGGAUUUCACUUAAUUAAGUGAUAGGAUUUUCCUUUUU
Long non-coding RNA from Glycine soja, 2103 nucleotides. RefSeq lists it as uncharacterized. The transcript is spliced from 6 exons. Lineage: Eukaryota; Viridiplantae; Streptophyta; Magnoliopsida; Fabales; Fabaceae. The record is from RefSeq and is a predicted model, not a curated record.